AUUGAACGCUGGCGGCAGGCCUAACACAUGCAAGUCGAACGAGUGGCGGACGGGUGAGUAAUGUCUGGGAAACUGCCCGAUGGAGGGGGAUAACUACUGGAAACGGUAGCUAAUACCGCAUACCAUCGGAUGUGCCCAGAUGGGAUUAGCUCGUAGGUGGGGUAACGGCGCACCUGGGCGACGAUCCCUACCUGGUAUGAGCGGAUGGCCAGCCAAACUGGAACUGGGGCAAGGUCCAGACUCCUAAGGGAGGCAGGAGUGGGGAAUAUUGCAAAAUGGGCGCAAUCCUGAUGCAGCCAUGCCGCGUGUAUGAAGAAGGCCUUCGGGUUGUAAAGUACUUUCAGCGAGGAGGCGUUACUCGCAGAAGAAGCACCGGCUAACUCCGUGCCAGCAGCCGCGGUAAUUC
RNAcentral lists this ribosomal RNA (406 nucleotides) under uncultured bacterium. Its description in RNAcentral is "partial 16S ribosomal RNA". It matches the Rfam family "Bacterial small subunit ribosomal RNA", at positions 30 to 526 of the family's 1533-position model. The record is from RNAcentral.